Molecule: ribosomal RNA, 301 nt
Filed under: uncultured bacterium
Lineage: Bacteria
Description: bacterial SSU rRNA
Rfam family: Bacterial small subunit ribosomal RNA
Source: RNAcentral
UUAGCAUACGGGGGGCAGCAGUGAGGAAUAUUGGUCAAUGGGCGAGAGCCUGAACCAGCCAAGUCGCGUGAGGGACGACGGCCCUACGGGUUGUAAACCUCUUUUGCCGGGGGACAAACGGCGGCACGCGUGCCGUCCUGAGGGUACCCGGAGAAAAAGCAUCGGCUAACUCCGUGCCAGCAGCCGCGGUAAUACGGAGGAUGCGAGCGUUAUCCGGAUUUAUUGGGUUUAAAGGUUGCGUAGGCGGGAUGCCACGUCAGCGGCCACAUACGGGGGCUCAACCUGCGGCCGCCGUUGACAC